UGCGGGGUGGAGCAGUCUGGUAGCUCGACGGGCUCAUAACCCGUAGGUCGUAGGUUCAAAUCCUGCCCCCGCUACCA
Molecule: transfer RNA, 77 nt
Filed under: bacterium
Lineage: Bacteria
Also listed under: 21 other names
Description: tRNA-Met
Rfam family: tRNA
About the family: Transfer RNA (tRNA) molecules are approximately 80 nucleotides in length. Their secondary structure includes four short double-helical elements and three loops (D, anti-codon, and T loops). Further hydrogen bonds mediate the characteristic L-shaped molecular structure. tRNAs have two regions of fundamental functional importance: the anti-codon, which is responsible for specific mRNA codon recognition, and the 3' end, to which the tRNAs corresponding amino acid is attached (by aminoacyl-tRNA synthetases). tRNAs cope with the degeneracy of the genetic code in two manners: having more than one tRNA (with a specific anti-codon) for a particular amino acid; and 'wobble' base-pairing, i.e. permitting non-standard base-pairing at the 3rd anti-codon position.
Source: RNAcentral